AUUGAACGCUGGCGGCAUGCUUUACACAUGCAAGUCGAACGGCAGCGGGGGCUUCGGCCUGCCGGCGAGUGGCGAACGGGUGAGUAGUGCAUCGGAACGUGCCCAUGUCGUGGGGGAUAACGUAUCGAAAGGUACGCUAAUACCGCAUACGUCCUGAGGGAGAAAGCGGGGGAUCUUCGGACCUCGCGCGAUUGGAGCGGCCGAUGUCGGAUUAGCUAGUAGGUGAGGUAAAGGCUCACCUAGGCGACGAUCCGUAGCGGGUCUGAGAGGAUGAUCCGCCACACUGGGACUGAGACACGGCCCAGACUCCUACGGGAGGCAGCAGUGGGGAAUUUUGGACAAUGGGCGCAAGCCUGAUCCAGCCAUGCCGCGUGAGUGAAGAAGGCCUCGG
Molecule: ribosomal RNA, 391 nt
Filed under: uncultured bacterium
Lineage: Bacteria
Description: bacterial SSU rRNA
Rfam family: Bacterial small subunit ribosomal RNA
Source: RNAcentral